CACGUAGGGGGCGAGCGUUGUCCGGAUUUAUUGGGCGUAAAGAGCUCGUAGGCGGCUUGGUAAGUCAGGUGUGAAGCCUCCAGGCUCAACCUGGAGACGCCACUUGAUACUGCCAUAGCUAGAGUCCGGUAGGGGAGCGUGGAAUUUCUGGUGUAGCGGUGAAAUGCGCAGAUAUCAGAAGGAACACCAGCGGCGAAGGCGGCGCUCUGGGCCGGAACUGACGCUGAGGAGCGAAAGCGUGGGUAGCAAACAGG
Molecule: ribosomal RNA, 254 nt
Filed under: uncultured bacterium
Lineage: Bacteria
Description: partial 16S ribosomal RNA
Rfam family: Bacterial small subunit ribosomal RNA
Source: RNAcentral